RNAcentral lists this ribosomal RNA (207 nucleotides) under uncultured bacterium. RNAcentral describes it as "partial 16S ribosomal RNA". It matches the Rfam family "Bacterial small subunit ribosomal RNA", at positions 568 to 774 of the family's 1533-position model. The record is from RNAcentral.
CUCGUAGGCGGCCAACUAAGUCGGACGUGAAAUCCCUCAGCUUAACUGGGGAACUGCGUCCGAUACUGGAUGGCUUGGAUUUGGGAGAGGGAUGCGGAAUUCCAGGUGUAGCGGUGAAAUGCGUAGAUAUCUGGAGGAACACCGGUGGCGAAGGCGGCAUCCUGGACCAAUAUUGACGCUGAGGAGCGAAAGCUAGGGGAGCAAACG